This 253-nucleotide ribosomal RNA is filed under the name uncultured bacterium. Its description in RNAcentral is "partial 16S ribosomal RNA". It matches the Rfam family "Bacterial small subunit ribosomal RNA", at positions 524 to 776 of the family's 1533-position model. The record is from RNAcentral.
GACGAACCGUGCGAACGUUGUUCGGAUUCACUGGGCUUAAAGGGCGCGUAGGCGGGUCGGUAAGUCCGGGGUGAAAGCCCCCAGCUCAACUGGGGAAGGGCCCCGGAUACUGCCGGCCUCGAGGAGGGUAGGGGCGGGCGGAACUUCCGGUGGAGCGGUGAAAUGCGUAGAUAUCGGAAGGAACGCCGGUGGCGAAAGCGGCCCGCUGGACCCUCUCUGACGCUGAGGCGCGAAAGCCAGGGGAGCAAACGGG